This 468-nucleotide ribosomal RNA is filed under the name uncultured bacterium. RNAcentral describes it as "partial 16S ribosomal RNA". It matches the Rfam family "Bacterial small subunit ribosomal RNA", at positions 28 to 507 of the family's 1533-position model. The record is from RNAcentral.
GACGAACGCUGGCGGCGUGCUUAACACAUGCAAGUCGAACGGAAAGGCUCCAGCUUGCUGGAGUACUCGAGUGGCGAAAGGGUGAGUAACACGUGGGUGAUCUGCCCUGCACUUCGGGAUAAGCCUGGGAAACUGGGUCUAAUACCGGAUAGGACCGCACUUUGGUGUGUGUGGUGGAAAGGUUUUUCUGGUGUGGGAUGAGCUCGCGGCCUAUCAGUUUGUUGGUGGGGUAAUGGCCUACCAAGACGGCGACGGGUAGCCGGCCUGAGAGGGUGGACGGUCACAUUGGGACUGAGAUACGGCCCAGACUCCUACGGGAGGCAGCAGUGGGGAAUAUUGCACAAUGGGGGAAACCCUGAUGCAGCGACGCCGCGUGGGGGAUGAAGGCCUUCGGGUUGUAAACUCCUUUCGCUAGGGACGAAGCUUUUUGUGACGGUACCUGGAGAAGAAGCACCGGCUAACUACGUG